UCCUGUUUUUUUGUUUGUUCACCUCCUUUCCAUGCCUACGAUCGUAGAUUUGGGGUUUUGGGACCUUGUCUUCUGUUCAAGCCUUCCUUCUCCUCUCUCGCUCCCUUGAAUGGCAUCGACCACCGACUGAGUUUCCCUUCUUCCGAUCUGUUUCGCGAUGACUCUUCUCCUUCCGAUUUGCUACUUCUUGCGCGCAAGGAGAGAAGACGGCCCCUGAUCGAUAGUGGUCAUCACUGACGUCAAAAGCGAUGACAAUCUGGCUGCACUGGCAGUUCUCAAGGAAUACUAUUGGUUGGGGCUUGUUGAAUUGCGUGCCGUGAUAGCCAACCGGAUGACAACAGACAACAGACAAGAAGACGAAUGUAUGAGCCUGGGAAAGCCCUCCUCCGUCAUGAAUUGAAAUGCCAACCUUAUUGUUUUGUACGAGGACUGAAUCACGGCUCUGGACUGCUUACUGUGUGUGUGGUGGCCGAGCUUGGAAUUGGAAGCUAGCAAACCUUUGACUCAGUGAUGGAUAGCAUGGAAAUCGAGCUUGGAAGCGAGCUGCUUAAGAACAGCUUGUGUAGGGAAUGUGAGUUCAGAUCAGGCGACUUCCUAAAAUAUUUCAAAAAUCAAGGAGGUCUGGUUUCAAGCGAGCCGGUCAGAUAGUGGGGGUUACAUGACCUUAUGAGAACAGCGAGGGAGUGUCGAUUCUGUUCUUUGGCGCUAAAAGCUGUAAGCAUAGUCCGUGCAGCCGAGGAUCUGCAGUCUGCUUCGGCCGUGUGCUCUAUGACUGUCGAAGCACUUGGUCACACUCA
Physcomitrium patens is the source of this 797-nucleotide non-coding RNA. The record is from RefSeq and is a predicted model, not a curated record. Lineage: Eukaryota; Viridiplantae; Streptophyta; Bryopsida; Funariales; Funariaceae.